UACAGAGGUCUCAAGCGUUGUUCGGAUUCAUUGGGCGUAAAGGGUGCGUAGGCGGCGCGGUAAGUCGGGUGUGAAAUCUUGGAGCUUAACUCCGAAACUGCAUUCGAUACUGCCGUGCUUGAGGACUGGAGAGGAGACUGGAAUUUACGGUGUAGCGGUGAAAUGCGUAGAUAUCGUAAGGAAGACCAGUGGCGAAGGCGGGUCUCUGGACAGUUCCUGACGCUGAGGCGCGAAAGCGUGGGGAUCAAACAGG
Molecule: ribosomal RNA, 253 nt
Filed under: uncultured bacterium
Lineage: Bacteria
Description: partial 16S ribosomal RNA
Rfam family: Bacterial small subunit ribosomal RNA
Source: RNAcentral